CUUGAUCAACCUACACAUCCCAAUAAAAUAUGUCAUCCUACAUAGCUUUGCACUUUAAAUAGCUCACUAAAACUUUGAUUUUCAACACCUCCAACUUCUUCAACCAUAUAGGAAUAUACAUCGACUGUUUGAAUUCCAGCAUUCACCACAAAGUCUAUAAUACCUACUUUUAUAGCCAUAAAUGAUCUUAUUGAUCUCAACAAAUACCUUUCAUCGAGCUUUGCCAACUCAUGAUUAUGCUUAGCAACCAAUC
RNAcentral lists this long non-coding RNA (253 nucleotides) under Elaeis guineensis (African oil palm). Its description in RNAcentral is "long non-coding RNA (EGUI_LNC034564)". The record is from RNAcentral. Lineage: Eukaryota; Viridiplantae; Streptophyta; Magnoliopsida; Arecales; Arecaceae.